Molecule: non-coding RNA, 2363 nt
Organism: Sus scrofa (pig)
Lineage: Eukaryota; Metazoa; Chordata; Mammalia; Artiodactyla; Suidae
Source: RefSeq, a predicted model, not a curated record
CCCACUGGGAUGCUGGCCAGAGGGGAACCACUGGGUUUGCUGAGGAAGGCAGUGCCUACUUGAAAUACAAAGAUGGAAAGGCUGCUGGAAACCUUGUGUGUUCCUCGGCCUUACAUCAUUACACAGUGAGAGGCAUCGAGAAGAUGGGAAGUCUGGCGCCAAGGGCAGGCCUCUCAGGAGGGUUGGAAAGAGGCAAGGAGAGCUAAUUGAGGAAGUAGUCCGGGUGUGUUUUAAUGAAGGCCUGGUAAAUUAUGGGUGGCAGAAAGGAGGGAGGAGUAAAACAAGAGGACAAUAGAGAGUAAGAAUGAAAAGGGAUCACUCAAGUAGGUGUGAGGACUAGAGAAGAGUAAAAGUCAGAGAUAAUUUUUACUUUCUGAGCCUGGCUGAUGGAAGGAAUGGCUGUGGAUUUUCCAGGAAUGUAGGGGUUGGUUGAAUUUGGUUCUAGAGAAGUGAAAUCCAAUAGCAACAAAAAAUUGCAACAACUGGGGUAAGUCCAUCACCAGAGGGGGCUGAGUCCCUGGGACAGGGAGGGAUCCUGAACAGAGCUUAACUAGCUCUGCUGGCAUUAUUAGCCUUUGCAGUCUUUUCCGCAUACCAGCUCCCCAUCAGAGCAACACAUUCUUUCUCCAUUAGGUUUACAGCACUAAGAACCUUGUGGUCAGCUUUUGCUCUUCUAGCUGACUAAGAAGUCUUUUGCUUUCAGUGUGGCUUUUGUUGAACACUCUUACGAGUUUAAUUACAAUUUAACACUCAGAAUUUCAGCCUAAUCUGCCCCCUCUCUCCAGUGUUGCAGUGUGUUGUCCUCUGGCUUGCUUCUGGUUAAGGAGGUCAAUCACCCCCAAAAGGCUACAGAAUAGUCGCGUUCUGGACAAAAUGACUGUAAUUAAGAGAGCAACAUUAACUUACCUUGUGUGUGAUUUAUCAUAUGAUUAGUAAACAAAUUACUCUAGUGACAGUUGUUGAGAAGCCUGUAUUAAACUUCUGGUGCAACAGGAAAAAGUGACAAACAGGACAAAGAUUCAUGAGCACAUAUGUUUUAAGCUCUGAGCUACUGUGUGGAAUGAAAAUGGAAAUUAUGAAUUCCACAAUAGGCACUGCCUUGGCAGAUUUUAGUGUGAGAUUAUGCAUGACCACACCUCUUUCACAAGUUUAUGCACGCUUAGGAAUUUUCUUAUUAAGGAUGUUAUACAAUCUGCAUUUUAGUAAGGGCAUGCAAAUGAAUGGAAAGAAUAUUCCCAGGCAAAUUAAUCUUGAUUUAUAAUUAUGCGUCUCCCUUCACUGGGUUAGUGCCAAAUUACUUUUUCUUUUCUGCAUUGUUAAGGAGGGGAGUGUUGCUUUAAGCUUACUGUAACUGGAACUAUGUUUCAUAAACCAGUUUUAGAUCAAUCACACAUAAAUUAUAAGAUUCAAUUAAGAAGCCAUUAACAUAUUUCACAUAAAUAGAAAAUAAAGAGCAAGUUCUGUGUGAAGACAGGAGAUGGAAUGCACACUUCUUUCUUCCUGUCUUCCUGAGACCCCACUAACUCAGCCAGUUAGGGGAUAUUUCAAGGCUUAAACCCAAUACAUGCAGAGAGCUGGAGAAGAGAUCAUUCUGGAAGCUAGAAAGCAGAUGUGUACAUAGUGAGAGAAUAAGCAGAGCUGAGAAAGCUGAAUUCCAAUCAAGCAGAAAAGAAAAUGAAGGACUAAUCUGAUUUACAGAAAAUCAAAGACUUAGAAACUAAAGGCAGUAGGUCUUUGUGGAGGUGAGGAUAAAAGGGGAAUAGACUUAAUAAGGAGGGCUGUUAGGAAUGCUGUUUUAGAAGGAAUUGGAUCCUUAGACUCCUUUCCAGAUCCAUGCACCAUCUCAGAAACUGCCCCUUCCUUAACUGGCAAAGAGUGAUGGUUUAUCUUCAGAAUAAAGUAAAAUAGAUGAUCUGCAAGGAAGAACAGCAGUGCAAUUGAAAGUGAGGGAACUGUACUAACAACGGAGAUAAACGAAUGUAUGCAACGGAGAUAAACGAAUGUAUGCACAUGGGCUCUGGUGACAUAACAUGCCAAAUCCACCUUUCUUAGUUCUGAGUGUAGGACAUUGAAAGCUAGACCUCCACCCUCCUGGUGAGACACUAAGAGUUUUCCGGGAAAUAUGGCUAGUCCACGAAGAAAGCCAUGACACUGGAAAGACACUGACAUCAGAAGUUUCCUCAUUAAACAGCCCACUCUGAUGCUCCUGUAGUGCAAAUCAUAUCAGACCAGCCUGUCUCUUACUCCUCACAGCUUCCAGUCAAUAUUUUAGUAUUUCACUCUGAAAUGUUGUCAGAUGAAAAGACUAUGUAUGCGAUAUGUGAGGAAAGCUAACUUGGAAAAGAGAAAUUAAAGAGAAAAAA